GGCUGAAUUUCCCUUUCACUUUAAACUCACGGGAAAGUCUCCUGCUUUUCUGCCCUUUGGGCAAGUUCUCACUUACGCGGCCAUGGUCCGGGAGGUGCCGCAGGCCCUAAGGGAGACCAGGGUAUUGCAGGUUCCGACGGUCUUCCUGGGGAUAAAGGAGAACUGGGUCCCAGCGGCCUGGUCGGACCCAAAGGAGAGGUGAGUGCCUGGCGACUGUUCCGAUGACACCAUCCAUGGGUGCCUGCUGGCUUCCUGCCCACCUCUGGGCAACCAGGCGGCCCUGCAGGGCACUGCCCAGAUCUGAGAUGUAAAAAAGCUUGCUCUGGUCAAGGCUGGGCAAGACGGCUCCGUGCCGGCCAGGAAAGAGCACGUCGGGGUGGCUCUGGGCUCCUGGGCUCGCCCCUGACCCACCUUCCUCUGUUUCUCUGCAGUCUGGCAGUCGAGGGGAGCUGGGCCCCAAAGGCACCCAGGGUCCCAACGGCACCAGCGGUGUUCA
This 496-nucleotide small RNA is filed under the name Pan troglodytes (chimpanzee). Its description in RNAcentral is "retained intron". The record is from RNAcentral. Lineage: Eukaryota; Metazoa; Chordata; Mammalia; Primates; Hominidae.